AAUAUGGGACAAUGGGCGAAAGCCUGAUCCAGCCAUGCCGCGUGGUUGAAGAAGGACUUCGGAUUGUAAAGCACUUUAAGUUGGGAGGAGGGGCAGUAAGCAAAUACUUUGCUGCUGUGACGGUACCGACAGAAUAAGAACCGGCUCACUUCAUGCCAUCAGCCGCGGUAAUACGAAGGGUGAAAGCUUUAAUCGGAAUUACUGGGCGUAAAGGGAGCGUAGGUGGUUUGUUAAGUUCGCAGUGAAAGCCCCGGGCUCAAUCUGGGAACUGCUUUCAAAACUGGCAAGCUAGAGUAUGGCAGAGGGUGGUGAAAUUUCCUGUGUAGCGGUGAAAUGCGUAGAUCUAGGAAGGAACACCAGUGGCGAAGGCGACCACCUGGGCUAAUACUGACACUGAGGUGCGAAAGCGUGGGGAGCAAAC
RNAcentral lists this ribosomal RNA (421 nucleotides) under uncultured bacterium. RNAcentral's name for it is "partial 16S ribosomal RNA". It matches the Rfam family "Bacterial small subunit ribosomal RNA", at positions 360 to 773 of the family's 1533-position model. The record is from RNAcentral.